RNAcentral lists this unclassified non-coding RNA (231 nucleotides) under fungal sp. RNAcentral's name for it is "partial internal transcribed spacer region". The stretch from base 1 to 47 matches the Rfam family "Eukaryotic small subunit ribosomal RNA", at positions 1785 to 1831 of the family's 1831-position model. The record is from RNAcentral. Lineage: Eukaryota; Fungi.
AAAGUCGUAACAAGGUUUCCGUAGGUGAACCUGCGGAAGGAUCAUUACAAAUCCAACGUCUCCUCUUUGAGACACCGUUGAAACAACGUGACGUGACGGGGAGGCUGGCCUGCUUGUCUCACGACAACACCGUCAUGCCCCACCUGUCAUCGUUUACAACCCAGAAAUCGUUGAUCAUUUGUAUGCUUCUUAACAAAGAAACAACUUAUACCAAUGGAUCUCUAGGCUCUU